GAUGAACGCUGGCGGCGUGCCUAAUACAUGCAAGUCGAGCGAACAGAUGAGGAGCUUGCUCCUCUGACGUUAGCGGCGGACGGGUGAGUAACACGUGGAUAACCUACCUAUAAGACUGGGAUAACUUCGGGAAACCGGAGCUAAUACCGGAUAAUAUAUUGAACCGCAUGGUUCAAUAGUGAAAGACGGUUUUGCUGUCACUUAUAGAUGGAUCCGCGCCGCAUUAGCUAGUUGGUAAGGUAACGGCUUACCAAGGCAACGAUGCGUAGCCGACCUGAGAGGGGGAUCGGCCACACUAGAACUGGGACACGGUCCAGACUCCUACGAGAGGCAGCAGUAGGGAAUCUUCCGCAAUGGGCGAAAGCCUGACGGAGCAACGCCGCGUGAGUGAUGAAGGUCUUCGGAUCGUAAAACUCUGUUAUUAGGGAUGAACAAAUGUGUAAGUAACUAUGCACGUCUUGACGGUACCUAAUCAGAAAGCCACGGCUAACUACGUG
RNAcentral lists this ribosomal RNA (497 nucleotides) under uncultured bacterium. RNAcentral describes it as "partial 16S ribosomal RNA". It matches the Rfam family "Bacterial small subunit ribosomal RNA", at positions 28 to 507 of the family's 1533-position model. The record is from RNAcentral.